RNAcentral lists this ribosomal RNA (396 nucleotides) under Zymoseptoria tritici IPO323. RNAcentral describes it as "SSU rRNA". It matches the Rfam family "Eukaryotic small subunit ribosomal RNA", at positions 1344 to 1682 of the family's 1831-position model. Lineage: Eukaryota; Fungi; Ascomycota; Dothideomycetes; Mycosphaerellales; Mycosphaerellaceae. The record is from RNAcentral.
CAGCCUGCUAAAUAGUCGUGCGAACCUUCUGUAUGGGGGAAGCUGGCGGUCGACUCGUUGGGCUUCGCGCCCGGCGUGCGAUGCUGGUGGAUCCUGGAUGUGUUCGUCCAUUUUCGCGACUUCUUAGAGGGACUAUUCUGCGCUUAGCGAUUGGAAGUUUGAGGCAAUAACAGGUCUGUGAUGCCCUUAGAUGUCUCGGGCUGCACGCGCGCUACACUGAUCGACUCAACAAGUUCCACACCUUGGCCGAUAGGUCUGGGUAAUCUUUUGAAAAUCGAUCGUGCUGGGGAUAGACCAUUGCAAUUAUUGGUCUUCAACGAGGAAUUCCUAGUAAGCGCAAUUCAUCAGAUUGCGCUGAUUACGUCCCUGCCCUUCGCACACACCGCCCGUCGCUCC